CCUACGGGAGGCAGCAGUGAGGAAUAUUGGUCAAUGGACGAGAGUCUGAACCAGCCAAGUAGCGUGAAGGAUGACUGCCCUAUGGGUUGUAAACUUCUUUUAUAUGGGAAUAAAAUGUUCCACGUGUGGGAUUUUGUAUGUACCAUAUGAAUAAGGAUCGGCUAACUCCGUUCCAGCAGCCGCGGUAAUACGGAGGAUCCGAGCGUUAUCCGGAUUUAUUGGGUUUAAAGGGAGCGUAGGUGGAUUGUUAAGUCAGUUGUGAAAGUUUGCGGCUCAACCGUAAAAUUGCAGUUGAAACUGGCAGUCUUGAGUACAGUAGAGGUGGGCGGAAUUCGUGGUGUAGCGGUGAAAUGCUUAGAGAUCACGAAGAACUCCGAUUGCGAAGGCAGUUCACUGGACUGCAACUGACACUGAGGCGCGAAAGUGUGGGUAUCAAACAGGAUUAGAUACCCGAGUAGUC
RNAcentral lists this ribosomal RNA (460 nucleotides) under uncultured bacterium. RNAcentral describes it as "partial 16S ribosomal RNA". It matches the Rfam family "Bacterial small subunit ribosomal RNA", at positions 338 to 795 of the family's 1533-position model. The record is from RNAcentral.